UCUUGGUGUCAGUGUUGUUGGUGCUGUUGGUGCUGUUGGUGUUGGUGUUGUUGGUGUUGGUUGCGGUGUUGGUGUCAGUGUUGGUACCGGUGUUGUUGGUGCUGUUGCCGGUGCCGGUGUUGGUGUC
Molecule: long non-coding RNA, 127 nt
Filed under: Numida meleagris (helmeted guineafowl)
Lineage: Eukaryota; Metazoa; Chordata; Aves; Galliformes; Numididae
Description: lncRNA (ENSNMEG00000002645.1)
Source: RNAcentral